UAUCAUCAUUAAUUAAUCGCUGAACCUCUGGAGGUGGAGGAGGAUCGAUCGAAUGAGGCGGAGCUUCUGUGCCUGUGCCACCGUCUUCGGCCUGUGGACGAGUUGAUCGACAUUAUCAACGUGCGGAUCGGCGAUUGUAAAAUCGAUCGUGUUUGUCGUUUUUUUUCUGUCUGCGCAUGUACCUCAGCCUCAGUCGUGUAAGGUUCUCGUCCCCAUUCUUCCGGAGCACUGCGGCGGAGGAAGUGCACUGUCGCCCGUAAGCCGCCGUUGUGUUGGAGGAGAGGGGAUUUUACUGAUUCUUGGAGUGCAUAACAAUACAUGAUCAAAGCAAACGCCUUCCUGCAGUUGAACAGUAAGUUGUACCCAACCCAAGCUCGAUCGGAUCAGAUCAUGGCAUGACCAAAAUUUCAUCAUAUAUAUAUAUAUAUAUGAAUGUGUGUAUAGUAGUAUGGAGACUGAAUGAGUUCGUUCAUGACCUCCGGGAAGGUAGAGAUCCCCCGGCGAGAAAAGCGGCCAAGAAGGCGAGGGACUCGCCUGGUUUGAAUAUGGGGACAGCAUGGCCAGCUCCUCUAAACGUUGCAAAUUACCAGGGUCUCCACGACGCCUUGAUCGGAAGCCCCAACAAGCUCAAACUGUAUCGAGUCGACAGCACAGGAACCCGGCCAUCAGUGUCUCCGCUGCAUCGACAACAAGAUCAUGACAAGAUGAUGAGUGAGCUA
Molecule: long non-coding RNA, 719 nt
Organism: Andrographis paniculata
Lineage: Eukaryota; Viridiplantae; Streptophyta; Magnoliopsida; Lamiales; Acanthaceae
Exons: 3
Source: RefSeq, a predicted model, not a curated record